Molecule: ribosomal RNA, 469 nt
Filed under: uncultured bacterium
Lineage: Bacteria
Description: partial 16S ribosomal RNA
Rfam family: Bacterial small subunit ribosomal RNA
Source: RNAcentral
GAUGAACGCUGGCGGCGUGCUUAACACAUGCCAGUCGAACGGUGAACACGGAGCUUGCUCUGUGGGAUCAGUGGCGAACGGGUGAGUAACACGUGAGCAACCUGCCCCUGACUCUGGGAUAAGCGCUAGAAACGGCGUCUAAUACUGGAUAUGUGACGUGACCGCAUGGUCUGCGUUUGGAAAGAUUUUUCGGUUGGGGAUGGGCUCGCGGCCUAUCAGCUUGUUGGUGAGGUAAUGGCUCACCAAGGCGUCGACGGGUAGCCGGCCUGAGAGGGUGACCGGCCACACUGGGAUUGAGACACGGCCCAGACUCCUACGGGAGGCAGCAGUGGGGAAUAUUGCACAAUGGGCGAAAGCCUGAUGCAGCAACGCCGCGUGAGGGAUGACGGCCUUCGGGUUGUAAACCUUUUUUAGCAGGGAAGAAGCGAAAGUGACGGUACCUGCAGAAAAAGCGCCGGCUAACUACGUG